Molecule: long non-coding RNA, 367 nt
Filed under: Panax ginseng (ginseng)
Lineage: Eukaryota; Viridiplantae; Streptophyta; Magnoliopsida; Apiales; Araliaceae
Description: long non-coding RNA (PGIN_LNC006465)
Source: RNAcentral
CCUGAGCUAUCCCCCGGCGGUCCGGCCGUCAAGCUUGUGGUGUUUGUCGUGUUUACUGUGCAGGAUCAUGACGUCUUUCGUGAUUGGGACGUGGAGAAAGAUCCUGGCGUUAACAUUGGCGCUAGAAGGAGGGCUGUGUUCUAGUGUCCUGAGUAUUUUUCAAUCACAGAUUGUGUUUUAUUCUAUUCAGUUAUCAUGGGGAAGAGUAGAACACCUACACCCGAAGGACAACCGAUGGCUGUCAGUGAAUCAGCACCGCGAGUGUCUGCCAAAGAUCGUUUGGGACCAACAAUAAGUGUUCAUGCUAGCACAGCGUCCAAAUGAUCACCUAAAGAUUCUCGGCCGAAGGCGGUAGGCAAAACCAAGC